UAAAAAAUAAAAAGGAACUAUUAUAAAAC
RNAcentral lists this non-coding RNA (29 nucleotides) under Rattus norvegicus (Norway rat). The record is from RNAcentral. Lineage: Eukaryota; Metazoa; Chordata; Mammalia; Rodentia; Muridae.